GACGAACGCUGGCGGCGUGCUUAACACAUGCAAGUCGAACGGAAAGGCCCUGCUUUUGUGGGGUGCUCGAGUGGCGAACGGGUGAGUAACACGUGAGUAACCUGCCCUUGACUUUGGGAUAACUUCAGGAAACUGGGGCUAAUACCGGAUAGGAGCUCCUGCUGCAUGGUGGGGGUUGGAAAGUUUCGGCGGUUGGGGAUGGACUCGCGGCUUAUCAGCUUGUUGGUGGGGUAGUGGCUUACCAAGGCUUUGACGGGUAGCCGGCCUGAGAGGGUGACCGGCCACAUUGGGACUGAGAUACGGCGCAGACGCCUACGGGAGGCAGCAGUGGGGAAUAUUGCACAAUGGGCGGAAGCGUGAUGCAGCAACGCCGCGUGCGUGAUGACGGCCUUCGGGUUGUAAACCGCUUUCGCCUGUGACGAAGCGUGAGUGACGGUAAUGGGUAAAGAAGCACCGGCUAACUACGUG
Molecule: ribosomal RNA, 468 nt
Filed under: uncultured bacterium
Lineage: Bacteria
Description: partial 16S ribosomal RNA
Rfam family: Bacterial small subunit ribosomal RNA
Source: RNAcentral